CCUACGGGAGACAGCAGUGAGGAAUAUUGGUCAAUGGGCGUAAGUCUGAACCAGCCAAGUCGCGUGAGGGAUGAAGGUUCUAUGGAUCGUAAACUUCUUUUAUAAGGGAAUAAAGUGUGGGACGUGUCCUGUUUUGUAUGUACCUUAUGAAUAAGGAUCGGCUAACUCCGUGCCAGCAGCCGCGGUAAUACGGAGGAUCCGAGCGUUAUCCGGAUUUAUUGGGUUUAAAGGGUGCGUAGGCGGACUUUUAAGUCAGCGGUGAAAGUCCGUGGCUCAACCAUGGAAUUGCCGUUGAAACUGGGUGUCUUGAGUGUGUGAGAGGCAAGCGGAAUUCGUGGUGUAGCGGUGAAAUGCGUAGAUAUCACGAGGAACCCCAGUGGCGAAGGCGGACUGC
RNAcentral lists this ribosomal RNA (394 nucleotides) under uncultured bacterium. RNAcentral's name for it is "partial 16S ribosomal RNA". It matches the Rfam family "Bacterial small subunit ribosomal RNA", at positions 338 to 729 of the family's 1533-position model. The record is from RNAcentral.